Molecule: ribosomal RNA, 377 nt
Filed under: uncultured bacterium
Lineage: Bacteria
Description: bacterial SSU rRNA
Rfam family: Bacterial small subunit ribosomal RNA
Source: RNAcentral
GACGAACGCUGGCGGCGUGCUUAACACAUGCAAGUCGAACGGAAAGGCCCUUCGGGGUACUCGAGUGGCGAACGGGUGAGUAACACGUGGGUGAUCUGCCCUGCACUUUGGGAUAAGCCUGGGAAACUGGGUCUAAUACCGGAUAGGACUACGGCCUGCAUGGGUUGUGGUGGAAAGCUUUUGCGGUGUGGGAUGGGCCCGCGGCCUAUCAGCUUGUUGGUGGGGUGAUGGCCUACCAAGGCGACGACGGGUAGCCGGCCUGAGAGGGUGACCGGCCACACUGGGACUGAGAUACGGCCCAGACUCCUACGGGAGGCAGCAGUGGGGAAUAUUGCACAAUGGGCGCAAGCCUGAUGCAGCGACGCCGCGUGGGGGAU